GACGAACGCUGGCGGCGUGCUUAACACAUGCAAGUCGAACGGAAAGGCCCUGCUUUUGUGGGGUGCUCGAGUGGCGAACGGGUGAGUAACACGUGAGUAACCUGCCCUUGACUUUGGGAUAACUUCAGGAAACUGGGGCUAAUACCGGAUAGGAGCUCCUGCUGCAUGGUGGGGGUUGGAAAGUUUCGGCGGUUGGGGAUGGACUCGCGGCUUAUCAGCUUGUUGGUGGGGUAGUGGCUUACCAAGGCUUUGACGGGUAGCCGGCCUGAGAGGGUGACCGGCCACAUUGGGACUGAGAUACGCACCAGACUCGUACGGGAGGCAGCAGUGGGGAAUAUGGCACAAUGGGCGGAAGCCUGAGGCAGCAACGCCGCGUGCGGGAUGACGGCCUUCGGGUUGAAAACCGCUUUCGCCUGUGACGAAGCGUGAGUGACGGUAAUGGGUAAAGAAGCACCGGCUAACUACGUG
This 468-nucleotide ribosomal RNA is filed under the name uncultured bacterium. Its description in RNAcentral is "partial 16S ribosomal RNA". It matches the Rfam family "Bacterial small subunit ribosomal RNA", at positions 28 to 507 of the family's 1533-position model. The record is from RNAcentral.